Molecule: long non-coding RNA, 2222 nt
Organism: Camelus dromedarius (Arabian camel)
Lineage: Eukaryota; Metazoa; Chordata; Mammalia; Artiodactyla; Camelidae
Exons: 3
Source: RefSeq, a predicted model, not a curated record
CUCGCAGGAAGGCGGUUGCGCGCGGCCGUCCGCUUGCGCCUCAGCUCGGGAACCGUUUCCCCGCCGGCCCGGCCCGUCAGCGAGGCCGUCAGCGCCACGGCCGCAGAGGGCGGCCCGGACCCACGUCUGCGCGGUGCUGCUGGCCUGGGGAAAGUGCCAGCAGAGGGCGGCUGAGGACUGCAGGUCCGUUGAAAGCCAGCCCCGCUCCCGAACCCCGGCGGCUCCCGGGUAACAACCCCACCCCACCAUCAGGAAUAACCCACCAGAGAGGUUUGCGGGGAAACCAGGUCAACGGCCGGGCGCGCCCGGAUGGGCCGCUGAGGAAACUGAAUUUUUAAAACUCAGAGGCAACAAACAGCUGUUAUCCCUUAUAUUCUUCUGUAACUUCUGUUCUCUGAGGAAAUGAUCUGUCUCUUAAGACAGCUCACGACAGAGAGCAAGACAGAGUCCUCCCCUACAUGGACUCUUGAAAAGCAUCUUGCUGGUGGGAACUCUUCCUCCGCUGUAUGAAGAAGGCCGGGCUAGCUUGCUGAGGAGAUGGGGAUCCACCUAGAGCCAGCACCAAGCAACAGACACGUGAGUCAGUCCCAGCUGAGCUGCCCGCUGACUGCAGGUGCAGAAGUGACCUUAGCUGAGACACAGGCUGCCCAGAUGCGCCUCCUCCAAGGUGGUAAUAUGAGCCAUAAGCAAAUAAAGUGGUUAUCUAACCCAUUUUUAUUGAAUCAAUAUGAAAAUGCAGAAUACAGUAGGAACAAAUGUAAAACAAUAGGUGAGGAAUAGAAGAUAGAGUAGAGUCAGAUGUGAUUAUGGCCAUUUCUAAUCUUUAGGAGCUUCGAAAAUUGUGGACAGGCAUCUGCGUAGACCCAUGGUAGAUGGGGCCUUGGCCUAAUACUGUCCUUGUGCAUUUUUGAAAAUGACUGUUACUGUCAUUCACGUGGAUUCCAGUGGUUGUUCUGUUGUCACUGAUGAAUUGAAAAACAAAGUUAUCUUAGUAAAGCACAUUCUCAGGUACUAGACUCAACGAAAUUCCUGAUUAAAUAGAUUUUCCUAAAGAUUUCCUCAAAACAGUGAGAUAAAUGCCAUAAAACCAAAAAAUGUCAAAAAUGCAAAGAGUUUGGGAGAGGGUUAUAGUUCAGUGGUUCAGUGUGUGCUUACUACACAUGAGGUCCUGGGUUCAGUCCCCAGUACCUCCAUUAAAAUAAAUAAAUGAAUGAAUGGAUGAAUGAAUGAAUGAAUACAUACAUACAUAAAAUAAAAAUAAAUAAACCUAAUUACCUACCCCACCAAAUACAAAGGAUCUCAUGAUACAUGUCCCUAGGUUCUGAAUCUAAACUCUGCCUUAUCAAAUGGACUGCUCCCAAUUAGCUGUGAUUACCUAGGCUCAGACAAUCCUAGCUCAGAGUUCUCAGAGGAACUUCUACUGGCCUUUGUAAUUGGUUUUUUACAUAUUUACUUUACUUCCAUUAUUAAUCUUGACAACAAUCCUAAAACUUAGAUGUUUUUAUUCGCAUUUUAGAGAUGAAGGAACUGAAACUGAGCUAAAAUAAUUGGCCAAAGUUAACACAGCUGUGAAUAGUAGCCCAGGAGUUGACAGUCUGGAAAGGUGGUUUGACAUCAAAUCAAGUCCUUUUCUUUCUCAGUGAUGCUGGUUCUUUUCAACCUGUUUCAAAGGCACUGGAAACCUGUGGUACCUCAGGUACCAUUAAGCAGGAAAAAAGGGGGUGGGGAAUAAACAAGGCAGUGCUCUGGGCCCCUCACUCUAUUUUCAGCCUGAGCACAUCUGAUAUAUAUGAGUCCCAUUUAAAGUUUUGUUUGAAAAAACUUCCAAACACUGUGUUAUACCCUGAUGUCUCGUAAUGCUGUACUAGCAACUUCCUGCAGUCAGACCUGCCUUACCCUUUGGUCUCACGACGGUAUGAAAGCGUCCCUGACCUGGAGCAGGUGAAAAUCAUUGCUCUUGGGAUGUGAUUUGGGCUCCAGAACGGCACUGUCUAAGCGUCUCCCAUGAGCCCUGGCAGCCUUGCUGUCUUUCUCACCAAAGCCACUUACAUGAUUCACACACCCUGCAGCCCCCUCCCUGUUACUAGUGACGUCACCUUCAUCAGGAGUGGCCACGGGCUCUCCCCAGAGGGAAGGGGUGUCUUCUCCCCAGAGCUGGAGGCCGUUUUCCAGGAAAAAUUGCACAAAAGAAGUCUGAAACACGUAAGGGCAAAACGGGGUGU